ACGGGAGGCAGCAGUGGGGAAUAUUGGGCAAUGGGGGCAACCCUGACCCAGCAACGCCGCGUGAAGGACGAAGGCUUUCGGGUUGUAAACUUCUUUUAAGGGGGAAGAGCAGAAGACGGUACCCCUCGAAUAAGCCACGGCUAACUACGUGCCAGCAGCCGCGGUAAUACGUAGGUGGCGAGCGUUGUCCGGAUUUACUGGGUGUAAAGGGCGUGUAGCCGGGGAAGCAAGUCAGAUGUGAAAUCUAUGGGCUCAACCCAUAAACUGCAUUUGAAACUGUUUUUCUUGAGUGUCGGAGGGGCAAUCGGAAUUCCUUGUGUAGCGGUGAAAUGCGUAGAUAUAAGGAGGAACACCAGUGGCGAAGGCGGAUUGCUGGACGAUAACUGACGGUGAGGCGCGAAAGUGUGGGGAGCAAACAGGAUUAGAUACCCUGGUA
This 436-nucleotide ribosomal RNA is filed under the name uncultured Oscillibacter sp. RNAcentral's name for it is "partial 16S ribosomal RNA". It matches the Rfam family "Bacterial small subunit ribosomal RNA", at positions 341 to 792 of the family's 1533-position model. Lineage: Bacteria; Bacillati; Bacillota; Clostridia; Eubacteriales; Oscillospiraceae. The record is from RNAcentral.